RNAcentral lists this ribosomal RNA (231 nucleotides) under Triticum aestivum (bread wheat). Its description in RNAcentral is "partial small subunit ribosomal RNA". The record is from RNAcentral. Lineage: Eukaryota; Viridiplantae; Streptophyta; Magnoliopsida; Poales; Poaceae.
AUGAAUUGUGUAAGUUGUAACUGCUGGGGGCUUGGGAACCCCCAGGCAGUUCGUGAGCUUCGCAGUGUUGUGAAGCAGGAAGGUCCUGCUUUCCUCUUUGUUACUGAAACAAAGAUUGGAGGCAAAUGUGUUGAGAGUUUGAAGCAAACCCUUGGUUUUGCAGGAAGUUUUGCAGUGGACAGUGAUGGCCUAAGCGGAGGAAUAGGUUUUUCUGAUCCAAAGAUUUUAUAG